Molecule: ribosomal RNA, 497 nt
Filed under: uncultured bacterium
Lineage: Bacteria
Description: partial 16S ribosomal RNA
Rfam family: Bacterial small subunit ribosomal RNA
Source: RNAcentral
GACGAACGCUGGCGGCGUGCCUAAUACAUGCAAGUUGAGCGAGGAGACGUGGUGCUUGCACCAAUGUGGAUAGCGGCGGACGGGUGAGUAACGCGUGGGUAAUCUGCCUUUGAGCCGGGGACAACAUUGGGAAACGAAUGCUAAUACCGCAUAACAACUUUAAACAUAAGUUUUAAGUGUGAAAGAUGCAAUUGCAUCACUCAAAGGUUAGACCGCGUUGUAUUAGCUAGUUGGUGAGGUAAAGGCUUACCAAGGGGAUGAUAUAUAGCCGACCUGAGAGGGUGAUUCGCCCCAAUGGGAACGAGACCAGGCCCCAACCCCUACGGGAGGCAGCAGUAGGGGAUCCUUGGCAAUGGAGGGAAGUCUGACCGAGCCACGACGCGUGAGUGAAUAAGGUUUUCGGAUCGUAAAACCCUGUUUGUAGAGAAGAAAGUUGGUGAGAGUGGACAGCUCACAACGUGACGGUAACUACCCAGAAAGACACGGCUAACUACGUG